Molecule: microRNA precursor, 126 nt
Filed under: Nicotiana sylvestris (wood tobacco)
Lineage: Eukaryota; Viridiplantae; Streptophyta; Magnoliopsida; Solanales; Solanaceae
Description: MIR396 microRNA precursor family
Rfam family: MIR396 microRNA precursor family
Source: Rfam by way of RNAcentral
UAUCAUGCUUUUCCACAGCUUUCUUGAACUUCUUUUCUUCUGAAUUUCAUCUCUAGCAAUUGAGUUAUUGAUAUGAGAUGAGAUUAAGCUAUAAAAGUUCAAGAAAGCUGUGGGAAAACAUGGUGA